RNAcentral lists this ribosomal RNA (892 nucleotides) under uncultured bacterium. Its description in RNAcentral is "bacterial SSU rRNA". It matches the Rfam family "Bacterial small subunit ribosomal RNA", at positions 21 to 889 of the family's 1533-position model. The record is from RNAcentral.
GGCUCAGAACGAACGCUGGCGGCGUGCCUAACACAUGCAAGUCGAACGGAAUUGAGGGGCUUGCUCUUCAAUUUAGUGGCGCACGGGUGAGUAACGCGUAGAUAAUCUGCCUGAUGAUCUGGGAUAACACUUCGAAAGAGGUGCUAAUACCGGAUAAGCCCACGGAGUCUUUGGAUUCUGCGGGAAAAGGGGGGGACCUUCGGGCCUUCUGUCAUCAGAUGAGUCUGCGUACCAUUAGCUAGUUGGUAGGGUAAUGGCCUACCAAGGCUACGAUGGUUAGCUGGUCUGAGAGGAUGAUCAGCCACACUGGAACUGAGACACGGUCCAGACUCCUACGGGAGGUAGCAGUGGGGAAUUUUGCGCAAUGGGCGAAAGCCUGACGCAGCAACGCCGCGUGAGUGAUGAAGGCUUUCGGGUCGUAAAGCUCUGUCGAGGGGAAAGAAGUGUAUUGUGGUUAAUACCCGCGAUACUUGACGGUACCCCUAAAGGAAGCACCGGCUAACUCCGUGCCAGCAGCCGCGGUAAUACGGGGGGUGCAAGCGUUGUUCGGAAUUAUUGGGCGUAAAGCGCGUGUAGGCGGUCUGAUUAGUCUGAUGUGAAAGCCCUGGGCUCAACCCAGGAAGUGCAUUGGAUACUGUCAGACUUGAAUACGGGAGAGGGUAGUGGAAUUCCUAGUGUAGGAGUGAAAUCCGUAGAUAUUAGGAGGAACACCGGUGGCGAAGGCGGCUACCUGGACCGAUAUUGACGCUGAGACGCGAAAGCGUGGGUAGCAAACAGGAUUAGAUACCCUGGUAGUCCACGCCGUAAACGAUGAGUACUAGGUGUUGCGGGUAUUGACCCCUGCAGUGCCGCAGCUAACGCAUUAAGUACUCCGCCUGGGAAGUACGGUCGC